GGGAAUAUUGGGCAAUGGGCGCAAGCCUGACCCAGCAACGCCGCGUGAAGGAAGAAGGCUUUCGGGUUGUAAACUUCUUUUAAGAGGGAAGAGCAGAAGACGGUACCUCUUGAAUAAGCCACGGCUAACUACGUGCCAGCAGCCGCGGUAAUACGUAGGUGGCAAGCGUUGUCCGGAUUUACUGGGUGUAAAGGGCGUGUAGCCGGGCUGACAAGUCAGAUGUGAAAUUCCGGGGCUCAACCCCGGACCUGCAUUUGAAACUGUUGGUCUUGAGUAUCGGAGAGGCAGGCGGAAUUCCUAGUGUAGCGGUGAAAUGCGUAGAUAUCAGGAGGAACACCAGUGGCGAAGGCGGCUUGCUGGACGAUGACUGACGUUGAGGCUCGAAAGCGUGGGGAGCAAACAG
Molecule: ribosomal RNA, 403 nt
Filed under: uncultured bacterium
Lineage: Bacteria
Description: bacterial SSU rRNA
Rfam family: Bacterial small subunit ribosomal RNA
Source: RNAcentral